UACGUAGGGGGCAAGCGUUGUCCGGAUUUAUUGGGCGUAAAGAGCUCGUAGGCGGCUUGGCAAGUCGGGUGUGAAAACUUCAGGCUCAACCUGGAGCGGCCACUCGAUACUGCUAUGGCUUGAGUCCGGUAGGGGACCACGGAAUUCCUGGUGUAGCGGUGAAAUGCGUAGAUAUCAGGAGGAACACCGGUGGCGAAGGCGGAUCUCUGGACCAGUUCUGACACUGAUGAGCGAAAGCCAGGGGAGCAAACAGG
RNAcentral lists this ribosomal RNA (254 nucleotides) under uncultured bacterium. RNAcentral describes it as "partial 16S ribosomal RNA". It matches the Rfam family "Bacterial small subunit ribosomal RNA", at positions 524 to 776 of the family's 1533-position model. The record is from RNAcentral.